UUCCAUCAAUGAGUCUCUGAAGCAAAGCACAACCAACAAGCCUGUGGUUCUUCUACAUCUGGAUAGGACAGUUCCGAAUCAGAACUCACCUGUGUGAACCUUUUCCAUCUACAAAGCCUAAAAGGAUAAACACAGAUUCAUGAACGUGCAACUUAUAUUAACCAAUCAGAAUCAGAACCUAUGACAGUCCCAGUCUUCUCUGAAAUCAGAAGAUGGAUGUGCCUCAUUAGAGAAUUUGCAGAGUCCAGUCUAGGUCAGUUGUGUCCCAGAACCCAAGACCCAAAUUCUGUCACCACUGCGAUGAAACGUUCGGAAUUGUGACACAAUUUAACAGAUCUUUUUCUCGUUUCUGCAAGAAGUGAGGCUGGUUUUUCUUCCGUCUUCUGGGAAUGAAGGCCUCGGAGGCUCCGAUGGGUGGACCAAGUCCAGAUUGAAAACAAGAGGAAGGAAGGAAAAAGAGUCUAGGAGGAAGCAGAGGAGACAGGAUGGAGGUACUCCUGAGUUAAACUUAAAAAAGAGUGAAUGAUGAUUAUUAAGAAAAGUUGGAAACAAAAGAACAAACAGUUAAUAGGGGAAGAAAGGAGAAAUUUGACUUUCAGCAUGACAGGAUAAAGAAAAGCAAAUAAGGAAAAAAGGAAGAGGAAAAUGGAGAGGAUGGGAUGAGCCAUAAAAUGGGAUGCAGAGAAGGAAUGCAUAUUAUCCAGGAACUUUUGAAUUAAGGAGGAAAAAAAAGAACAUCAGAAAAAAGAAAGUGAUGAAGAGGAGAAGAUAAGGAUGAAGACGUGAAGAAGAAGAAGCCAGUAAAUCGACAUCAUGCAAAGUGACUGCUUUAUUAGGUUGUGUCUUAUUCAAGAGCUGAGUUGCAGCUGCUCGUGUUUAAUAUCAUUUACAUGAGCAGAAACUCGGUUACGUAGGCGACCGCCGUGGAGGUGAUCCAUCCUCCCACGCUCACGGCCACGGACGACACGGACUCGAUGCAUCAUUCUCGUUUUAAAUUUAUUAUUUGAUUGUUUUGUCUCUUCUUUUCCUCAAUAGCUGCAACCUUAACAGCAAAUCCCACCUGCUGUGUCUCACCUGAGGCCGUUUAUUAAAACACUUUGUUUGAAUCAGGUAAUACACAUGAAAAGUCAACCUGAGUCAAACAUAAAUAAUUAAAACAAUAAAUGUACAAGUAAAAGUGUAACAAGGUGAUCUGUCCAAUGCUUCGUUUCUCUCUACAAUUAAAACUUAUUAUUUAUUUUGUUUUACUAAAAAUAAAUAUAUUUCUUUUUUACUUUGAAUAAAUAAGUGUAAAGCCGC
Molecule: long non-coding RNA, 1299 nt
Organism: Betta splendens (Siamese fighting fish)
Lineage: Eukaryota; Metazoa; Chordata; Actinopteri; Anabantiformes; Osphronemidae
Exons: 2
Source: RefSeq, a predicted model, not a curated record